CGGAUGUUGCCGACCAUGCCUCAUCCUUCUCUUUUUCGAGCCUUCUUCAUCCUUCGACCUCAUCCGAAGGCUCGAGGGUGGUAGUUCUUCAACCUCUGAAAAGAUCUUUUCUUUAUUACCGAUCUUCCAUCGUCCAUUCAUGGAUGGAAGAACUAAUUUUUCUUUACUUCUUCUUUCCUUCCUUGGGAUUUUUUUUCUCGUUGGGGGGAUCUUCGAACCGGUCCCAACGACAACAGUCAGGUAGAGGUCGACGAUCAAGAGGACUUUCACCGACUGAAAGAUAUGUCGGUGCCGAAGCAAAA
RNAcentral lists this long non-coding RNA (302 nucleotides) under Elaeis guineensis (African oil palm). Its description in RNAcentral is "long non-coding RNA (EGUI_LNC005770)". The record is from RNAcentral. Lineage: Eukaryota; Viridiplantae; Streptophyta; Magnoliopsida; Arecales; Arecaceae.